AGAUGCAUCAUCCAUGCAAGUUUGGUUCAGGUAGGACUUAUAGUUACUAGGGAAUAAAAAUAUAGGUCAGAUCCAGCAUCUGAAGCAAGUCUGGUAGUGUCCAUCCCUAGAUGCAUCAUCCAUGCAAGUUUGGUUCAGGUAGGACUCAUAGUUACUUGGAAAUGAAAAUAUAGGUCAGAUCCAGCAUCCGAAGCAAGUCUGGUAGUGUCCAUCCAAAGAUGCAUCAUCCAUAUAAGUUUGGUUCAGGUAGGGCUUAUAGUUACUAUGGAAUGAAAAUAUAGGUCAGAUUCAGCAUCCGAAGCAAGUUUGGUGGUGUCCAUCCCUAGAUGCAUCAUCCAUGCAAUUUUGGUUUAGGUAGGGCUUAUAGUUACUUGGGAAUAAAAAUAUAGGUCAGAUCCAGCAUCAGAAGCAAGUCUGGUAGUGUCCAUCCCUAGAUGCAUCAUUCAUGUAAGUUUGGUUCAGGUAGGGCUUAUAGUUACUUGGGAAUAAAAUUAUAGGUCAGAUCCAGCAUCCGAAGCAAGUCUGGUAGUGUCCAUCCCUAGAUGCAUCAUCCAUGCCAGUUUGAUUCAGGUAGGGCUUAUAGUUACUUGGAAAUGAAAAUAUAGGUCAGAUCCAGCAUCCGAAGCAAGUCUGGUAGUGUCCAUCCAAAGAUGCAUCAUCCAUGUAAGUUUGGUUCAGGUAGGGCUUAUAGUUCCUUAGGAAUGGACCUGCUCUAAAAACUUUAACCUGGUCACUCAUCUGGAAAAUAUAGGUCAGAUCCAGCAUCCGAAGCAACUCUGGUAGUGUCCAUCCCUAGAUGCAUCAUCCAUGCAAGUUUGGUCCAAGUAGGGCUUAUAGUUCCUUAGGAAUGGAUCUGUUCCUAAAACUUUUACCUGGUCACUCGUCUUGAAAAUGUCAGUCAGAUCCAGCAUCCGAAGCAAGUCUGGUAGUGUUCAUCCCUAGAUGAACCAUAGCUCUCAUCAAUAUCUAUCAGCAUAUGAAGUUUGAUGAAAAUAUCUUGGAUAGUUUCUUUGAAACUUAGCUUUGAACAGAGCUAAACGCAAAGUGUGACGGAAGGACGGAAGGACAGAAGGACGGAAGGACGGAAGACGGACAUGACAAACACUAUAUGCCCCGGCCAUUUUCAUGGCGGGGCAUAAAAA
This is a long non-coding RNA of Saccostrea cuccullata (small rock oyster), 1142 nucleotides long. RefSeq lists it as uncharacterized. The transcript has 2 exons. Lineage: Eukaryota; Metazoa; Mollusca; Bivalvia; Ostreida; Ostreidae. The record is from RefSeq and is a predicted model, not a curated record.